Molecule: unclassified non-coding RNA, 328 nt
Filed under: soil metagenome
Description: partial contains 5.8S ribosomal RNA, internal transcribed spacer 2, and large subunit ribosomal RNA
Rfam family: 5.8S ribosomal RNA (bases 1-119)
Source: RNAcentral
GAUGAAGAACGCAGCGAAAUGCGAUAAGUAGUGUGAAUUGCAGAAUUCAGUGAAUCAUCGAAUCUUUGAACGCACAUUGCGCCCCUUGGUAUCCCGAGGGGCAUGCCGUUCGAGCGUCAUUUCACCACUCAAGCCUGGCUUGGUGUUGGGCGACGUCCUCUUUGGGGACGCGCCUCGAAACGCUCGGCGGCGUGGCACCGGCUUUAAGCGUAGCAGAAUCUUUCGCUUUGGAAGUCGGGGCCCCGUCUGCCGGAAGACCUGCUCGCAAGGUUGACCUCGGAUCAGGCAGGGAUACCCGCUGAACUUAAGCAUAUCAAUAAGCGGAGGA